GGAGAAACAUGACAGUGGACAGGCCCAAUUCUGCAUAGUACAGAUGGGAAAGUCAGGCGGGCAGUUACUCCAUCACUACCCACGUCUCAAAUUCACUUAAGCAAAGCUCCAAUUCUGUGCAAGAAGGAUGCAAAAAGAGCAAAAUAUCCAUGGUACAACUUUCUGGAGCAUCAAUCCUACUGCCAGAUUUGGAAGAAAUGAAGUUAAGUAAUUUCCAAGCAGUAUCUCCCCUCCCUGACAAACAUGGAAGAAGAGACAGAAGAGCAGGAGGAAGAAGUGCCCCAGGACAACAGUCCAGUCUCUGAAGAUUCAUCCAGCUUGGGACAAAGGGCCAGCCUCUCUACUUAUCUCUCCGUUGGCUCCCAACCAUCCUUUAAGCUCACCAGCAUUUUGGAUUCAAUGCGUUUGAAUGCUGUGGAAGUGCAGGUACUCCCUUGAUUU
Callorhinus ursinus (northern fur seal) is the source of this 441-nucleotide long non-coding RNA. RefSeq lists it as uncharacterized. The record is from RefSeq and is a predicted model, not a curated record. NCBI's taxonomy places the organism in Eukaryota, Metazoa, Chordata, Mammalia, Carnivora, Otariidae.